AAGGUUUUUCUUUAAAAUAGUUAAAUAUUAUUACCGAAAUAAAUGAUUUAUUGAUUGAUUAUUAAAAAAUGCAGGCACAACCAUGCGAAUGCAUUUUAAAUUUGAAACUUUCCAGACUUCGAUCUGCAUUUACUUCCAUUUGUGAUUUAUUGGACCAACAAGGUUGGAAUAUAUUAUCGGAACAUCUCAAAGCAUUAAACGUGUUGGAUGCAAGAGAUAUGAGUGCAAUACAUCAUGCUUCUUCAUUAGCAGUUGCCAGCCCAACAAAAGAACUUUUAUUGCGAUUGGAACAGAAAAGUAAUAUCGAUUUCUCGGUGCAUGCUUUAUUAUUUUACAUGAAUUCUUUACAAAUGCCUCAAUAUUUUCAAAUUUAUAUGAUGAUUGCUCCUUUACAUAAGAAAAAUUGUAGAAUUUCAUUUGAAAAUGAAAGAAAAAGGAUUCUGGAUGAAUUGUUUUCAGAAGAUCAUGCAUCGACUAUGAUGCAACAAUCACCAAACGCUGGCUAUCCUAUGGUUCAUGAAUCUCCAUUGACCAAUUUUACUUUUAACAACCUACAAACUUUUCCUGUAUUAUCUUCAGGAGUUUCACAUGCAAUCCCAAAUACAAUGUUCCCACCAACAUUAAAUCUAACAAACGAAAAAGGGAUUCAAAUGCCUUUUUCGACGCAGGCAUACAAACAACCUGGCUUACAAAUGAAUUGUAUUAAUAAUCUUUCUCAUCCAAAUAAGCCUUACCUUUGUAUUGUUGAGCACCCUAAAGAACAAAGAUUAAAUUGUGGAGAAGGUUUAAUUUUAAGGUGCGUAGCUGAAAGUGAUCAAGCCAAUGUACAUUAUUCCUGGCAACGGGAUGGUAUUAAAUUACCUGAUCAAACUAACAAAGUUCUUAUGAUAUUAGAUGCGCAACCAUCGGAUGAUGGAAUCUACGUUUGUACUGUUACAUGUGAUAACUCACUCAGUGCUGUUUCAAAUGCAGCAAAAGUAGAAAUUGUGAAAGAAUUGGGAUGUUCUAUAAAUAAAGAUGUACACUCUGAUUAUGAUAAUGUUUCUAUGACUGCAACUGCCAAAUUUGCUUUGUUAAUUGCCAAUGAAGAUUAUGUCCAUAACACGACAUUAGCUUCUGCAACGAAUGACGUAGCAGCGUUGGCCUCGACGUUAAGAAAAAAACUUCAAUUUAAAACAGUAUCACUCGUCAACCUUAACCUAUCUGAGAUGGAACGAGCUGUUAAGGUGUUUUGUAGUUAUUUAAUAAAUGGAUCAUAUUGUGUUUUAUAUCUGGCUGGACACGGCUUCGAAAAUGAUGGACAAUGUUAUAUUGUCCCAACAGAUGCUCCAAAAGAUUACACCUAUGAGAAUUGUUUUUCUGUCAAAAAGAUGAUUCAAGAUAUAAGUUUGCAUGAUCUUCAUUUGACAGUUGUGUUAUUGGACGUCUGUAGGCGACGCAAUGAACGUGCGGUCAAACUCCCUGAGCCAACUCAUAAUAAAUUUAAAUCGUGCAAUUUUGUUAUCAGUUUUGCAACUAUGGAAAGUGGAAUGGCAUACGAGGUGAAAGGUCGUAAAUUAGGAGCAUAUGUUUCUAAUCUUCAGAAUCAUUUGAGCAAGGACAAACGCAUUACUAGAGUUUUGGAACUUGUUCAUCAAGACAUGCAUAAAUGUGAAUUAACCAGAGGAGUUCAACAGCCAGAAUUCAAAUCCAAUAUGUUUGAAGACAGAAAAUUAACCGACCCAUUGAAAUCUCCUUUCAAUGCAGAAAAGCAGAAUAUACAUGACUAUGAAUGGAAUGAAGUACAUGUUGGUCAGAAGCCAAUAUUAUUUUUUUUCGAAUCUUGUGGGGUAUAUGUAAAACUUAAUGUAACAUGUCUAUUCUCAAAUAUCCUCCUAAUUGAAGCAAUUGUCAUUGAUAAAGGUGGUACGAGCAUUUGUAAUGUAUCAAUCAAUCUCACUUCUGAUUCGCAAUCUCAGAAUGGGAGCAGUACAUCCUGUAUUAGACUGGAAGAUUUACAAAGACUUAAUACUCACAUGAAAAUUUUACCCAUCUCUAUUAAUAUAAGCUAUGUUAUUAAUGAAUUCAUAUUUGAAGAAAGUUGGGAUGAUAAUAUUGAUAUUCCUUUUAUAACCUGGUGGAUGCCUGAGGAAUAGUUUAUAUUAGCACUGAAAAAGUGAUUUUUUUGAUAUGGUAUAUAACUAAUGUAAUGCUAAUUUGUAAUGGUGCAAUUUUAGCUGUCCACUUCUAAUGUUAACUUUUUUAGGUGUCACACACACUCACUCAAAAGUUACAGAGAACCGGUUCUGAGCAAAGCUAUUCGUAUAUGCAAUCACUGAUAUUCUAAGAGCUUCCUUACAAUAUAAAUACAUUUAACCAUAAAAUUUUACUUUUAAUAAUUACCAACUUUAGGCAUUUUUAAAUGGAAUAUUCACCUUCGAUUGGCUUAGUUUUUAGGUAAGAAACCUAUUUCCAUCAUUUUGGGACUAUGUAGACUUAGGAAGUAAACAAGAAAAAAGGACUUGUUAUUUGUGUGAUGCUAUCUUAGAUUUAUUUAAUUAAUUCAACAUAUUUAUAGGGAUUUUUAUCUGUUUGGUUCUAGGUCGUAUUGACCAUUGGUGCAUUAAUUUCAUAUUAACGUUAUAAACAGUUUUUGCUUCAUGUAAUUUGAAUAGUUCAUUAUUUUAUUUAAGUUUACUUUUCUGUUACUUUUUUAAAAUAUAAUUUCAAGAUCAUGCGCGACGUAGUGGAUUAGAAUAAUCAUGAACAAGUAAAUUAAAUUAAACCGAAUGCAUUUUCAAAAUAAUAUGUUGUUAUUUGAAAUCAUUGUUACAUGAGAAAUUUCGAUAUAUUACGGUAUAUAUUUUAUGUGUCGUCUAUUUUGCAUUAUUGCUUUACAUUCGUAUUUUUUGUAAAAAAUAUUUUCACGAACACAAAGUGGUCUAUACACGUACACAAAGUGGGGCGGCGGCCUAGAGGUUAAAUUAUUUGACUUGACUAUGGGUUAAAUUCCAUACCCAUUGGCCACCACCCACUCAGGAUGUAAUAAAUGGCAUAGGCAUUGAUGAAUCGAAAAAAUUCCUGUUUUUCCAAACUAUAGUAGCUCCUAACGAUAUAUAGAGAAAUUAAUUUCAAAUUUGUGGUCAAAUUUCACUCCACUUUUCGAAAAUGAAUCAGUCCUCUUAUGUAAAAUUAGCUUCAUGUUUGCAAAUCCGCUCAGAAUGUCUUAUUGAGUGUUUCUGUUUCUGCUGCUUAGUUGAGAACCUUGAUUAGGUGGUGAUUCUCGGUGAGAUUUUUUCCAACCCUAUUUCAAUAGAUGGUGCGAAUCGAGUUCUUCAUUGUAAUUCUGUAACUUGUAUUUCCACUGUCGUCAUCCACAGACUUUCUCAUGCCUAAUUCAUCAUGCUGUAAUUGCUGUUUUAACUUUUUGUAGCUUAGUACUUCCACAGUAUUAGUAAAAAGUUUCAACUUACCAAGAGUUUCAUUUUAUAUUGUUACUUAAGAUUUAGAUCGGUACUGAAAACUUUUCUUAUUCAUAUUUUUUAUUUUUAUUUUAUCAUAUUUUGUUUUUAAAUGCUUGAUUUAAUAUGUGGUAUAUAGGCUAUAUUUAUUUGCCAUGUUUAUGUAAUUUGAUUUUAUUACUUAUUUUGAAUUUUAUUAAAUCUUCACAUUAUAUUAUUCUUUACAGUCUUUAUUAGGGUAAUAUAAUAAUAUUAAGUUUAUUAUUGAUAUGACCAGCUAUUGAUUUUUGGUUAAUGUCUGAUGAAUGAAUAUUUAUCGGAUUCGUAUGCAUUUGAUGCAAGGGUUCUGUAGCAGGAAUAAACAGGACCCUACUAUGCAAUUCAAGAGCCCUGUUGCACACAAACACAAACCUUGUCCGAGGAAGUCUGAUUUUGGUCAGACGAAACGUUACAGAAAUACAUUUGUGUUAGUGUGCAGGGGCGUCCCUGAUUUACACAAGAGCAUAUUAAUUCAAUAUGUACUCGGCCUUGAUUAAGCAUACUGUGAACUGUGCUUUGGUAAUCAGUUGUUUUUUGAGUGUCAGAUACUCAGAUUUCAUGAUAUUUUAAAAGAGUUAUUUUAUGGAAUAAAAUUAUAGAUUGUCAAAAAUCACGCUAUGUUGAAAAAACAUUGGUGAUAUUACUAGUAAUCUGAAACCAGCAUUAUCUUUAUUGGUGGGAGGGCAUGAUUUGACAAUAAAGAUUAUUAAAUAUGGAUAACCGGGCUUUAUACAUACCCAUUGUUGUCUUGACUGGUUUCACUUUUUUUACAUUGGCCAAAUUUAGUUACAUAUAGAUAUUGUAUUGCAAUAUAGGAUACCUAAUAUACAAAUAUUGAUUUACAAGAUCAGGAGUGUCUUAAUAACAAUGGUCUCACAACUCCUUUCUAAUAUUUAUUUCUUAUCUGCAUUUCUUGUUGUUAAAUUAUGAUACAUUAUUACAGAGUGUUUGCGUUCCAAUAUAAAUUUGCAUAUAAGAAGAAAAAUAAUUGGAUUGUUGAAUGAAGUUCUGUAAUGCCUAUUUCAUGAAUAAUUUAAUAUUACUUCAAAAUUAUUAGCCCUGAUAUAUACAUUCCUGUUAAUUUUAUGAUUUUUUUUUAAUCUUUUUAGAAAAUUCCAGAUUUAGAGAUACAUGGAAAUUGAUAUUGAACAUCCUUCUUUGCUAACCUUGAAUUCUCAAACCAGAGUAAGAAGAAGUAAUUGUAAAAAAAAAUAAAAAAGAUGAGGAUUAUGGUUCAAAUCAACAAUCAUUUGUCACAAUAAAACUAUAUGGAAGAUUAGCAGCAUCCUGGACAGCUGAGAAGACUAUUCAUACAGAUUCUGAAUUCAUUGAACAAUUGCUUGAAAUCAA
This is a non-coding RNA of Styela clava, 4829 nucleotides long. Lineage: Eukaryota; Metazoa; Chordata; Ascidiacea; Stolidobranchia; Styelidae. The record is from RefSeq and is a predicted model, not a curated record.